GAACGGGCUAGUCUCGUCUGGGGCUGGCUAGGUGGUCGGCGUUGUGCAGUGCUCACGAUGAAGCGGAAAGGGGCUGAAGAUGAACUUCCGGUUGACCGGUCUGCCACCCGCAGCGCGGAAAGCGGAAUUAACUGGCUACUGACCACUACCCUGGCCUGCGCGAGCUCCCGUGAAGUCGAACGAAGAUCCCUUGGUCGAAUGUUCAGAGCCCUUGGAUUCCAUCUCACCUCCCGAACGAUGACCUCCCCACCGGACAUAACUCAACCACUUCCUUGUACUUGACCUGCUGACGGCCGCCAGGUGGCGGGUCCCCCGAUUCUGACGUCAUCUUAGCAUUGUAUAAAACUCCCAGUGUCAUUUGUCGUUCUUCAGUCCUGACGCAGGCGGACCCUCCGUCCCAACGUUGGCGUAUCCCUUAACUUCCCACGUGUAAAUAAACUUAUAAUGUAAAUGUAGUAAUAAUGUACCUGUAAAUAAAACCA
Molecule: long non-coding RNA, 482 nt
Organism: Ornithodoros turicata
Lineage: Eukaryota; Metazoa; Arthropoda; Arachnida; Ixodida; Argasidae
Exons: 3
Source: RefSeq, a predicted model, not a curated record